This 250-nucleotide ribosomal RNA is filed under the name uncultured bacterium. Its description in RNAcentral is "partial 16S ribosomal RNA". It matches the Rfam family "Bacterial small subunit ribosomal RNA", at positions 355 to 600 of the family's 1533-position model. The record is from RNAcentral.
UCGAGAAUCUUUGUCAAUGGACGAAAGUCUGAACAAGCGACGCCGCGUGCGGGAUGAAGGCCUUCGGGUUGUAAACCGCUGUCGUAGGGGAACAAAUGUACGGGGGUACUCCCCUGUAUUUGAGUGAUCCUAGGAGGAAGGAGAGGCUAAGCUCGUGCCAGCAGCCGCGGUAAGACGAGCUCUCCAAACGUUAUUCGGUAUCACUGGGCUUAAAGAGUUCGUAGGCGGCCUAGCAGGUCAGGUGUGAAAU